Molecule: non-coding RNA, 307 nt
Organism: Ciona intestinalis (vase tunicate)
Lineage: Eukaryota; Metazoa; Chordata; Ascidiacea; Phlebobranchia; Cionidae
Source: RefSeq, a predicted model, not a curated record
UUAUUAAAAUCUUUAUUUUCAUACAGAUAUCCAAACAGAUGAAAAAGGUAUUUACAAUAUUUCUCUGUUUGUUGUUAUUUCCACUUUUGGUUAACACUACUAAUGCCCAAGAGGGCGUGUUAAAGAGUAAGUUAUACGGUUUCGGUGCGGACAAUAUAGAUGCGGAUGUGGGUAUACAAAGUUUGAUGAACCGCCUACAUGAUAUCCGAGCACCGAAUGGCAAUAACCACUAAAUCAACCUGCUGCUUGAAAAUGAAGAACUACAUUUAAGAAUAAGAAUAAAAAAAUAAUAAACAGUUUACAUAUG